AGAGUUUGAUUAUGGCUCAGAAUCAACGCUGGCGGCGCGCCUAACACAUGCAAGUCGAACGGGAAAGCCGCAAGGUGAGUAAAGUGGCGUACGGGUGAGUAACACGUGGAACAUCUACCUUUUAGUGGGGAAUACCGUUGGGAAACCGACGACAAUACCGCAUAAUCUCGAGAGAGGAAAGCAGCAAUGCGCUGAAAGAGGAGUCCGCGGUCGAUUAGUUAGUUGGCAGGGUAAAAGCCUACCAAGACUGUGAUCGAUAGCCGGCCCGAGAGGGCACACGGCCACACUGGCACUGAAACACGGGCCAGACUCCUACGGGAGGCAGCAGUGGGGAAUCUUGCACAAUGGAGGAAACUCUGAUGCAGCGACGCCGCGUGAGCGAUGAAGCCCUUCGGGGUGUAAAGCUCUUUCGGCAGGGAAGAUUAUGACGGUACCUGCAGAAGCAGCUGCGGCUAACUACGUGCCAGCAGCCGCGGUAAUACGUAGGCAGCAAGCGUUGUUCGGAGUUACUGGGCGUAAAGGGUGCGUAGGCGGCUUUUUAAGUUUGGUGUGAAAUCUCCCGGCUCAACCGGGAGGGUGCGCCGAAUACUGAGAGGCUAGAGUGCGGGAGAGGAAAGUGGAAUUCCUGGUGUAGCGGUGAAAUGCGUAGAUAUCAGGAGGAACACCGGUGGUGUAGACGGCUUUCUGGACCGUAACUGACGCUGAGGCACGAAAGCGUGGGUAGCAAACAGGAUUAGAUACCCUGGUAGUCCACGCCCUAAACGAUGCAUAUUUGGUGUGGGCCAUUCAUUUGGUCCGUGCCGGAGCUAACGCGUUAAAUAUGCCGCCUGGGGAGUACAGUCGCAAGGCUGAAACUCAAAGGAUUGACC
Molecule: ribosomal RNA, 869 nt
Filed under: uncultured bacterium
Lineage: Bacteria
Description: bacterial SSU rRNA
Rfam family: Bacterial small subunit ribosomal RNA
Source: RNAcentral